This 834-nucleotide ribosomal RNA is filed under the name uncultured eukaryote. RNAcentral describes it as "bacterial SSU rRNA". It matches the Rfam family "Bacterial small subunit ribosomal RNA", at positions 481 to 1324 of the family's 1533-position model. The record is from RNAcentral.
GAGGAAUAAGCAUCGGCUAACUCCGUGCCAGCAGCCGCGGUAAUACGGGGGAUGCAAGCGUUAUCCGGAAUCAUUGGGCGUAAAGCGCCUGUAGGUUGUUUAAUAAGUCUGUUGUUAAAGACUGGGGCUUAACCCCAGGAAAGCAAUGGAAACUACUAGACUAGAGUAUGGUAGGGGUAAAGGGAAUUUCUAGUGUAGCGGUGAAAUGCGUAGAUAUUAGAAAGAACACCGGUGGCGAAAGCGCUUUACUGGACCAUUACUGACACUCAGAGGCGAAAGCUAGGGUAGCCAAAGGGAUUAGAUACCCCUGUAGUCCUAGCCGUAAACGAUGGAUACUAGAUGUUGCGCUUAUUGUGCAGUGUCGUAGCUAACGCGUUAAGUAUCCCGCCUGGGGAGUACGAUCGCAAGGUUGAAACUCAAAGGAAUUGACGGGGGCCCGCACAAGCGGUGGAGCAUGUGGUUUAAUUCGAUGCAACGCGAAGAACCUUACCAGGGCUUGACAUACUGCAAAUUUUCUUGAAAGAGAAAAGUGCCUUCGGGAAUGCAGAUACAGGUGGUGCAUGGCUGUCGUCAGCCCGUGUCGUGAGAUGUUGGGUUAAGUCCCGCAACGAGCGCAACCCUCGUUUUUAGUUGCCAUUUUAUGGGUUCUCUAGAAAGACUGCCGGUGACAAACCGGAGGAAGGUGGGGAUGACGUCAAGUCAGCAUGCCCCUUAUGCCCUGGGCUACACACGUGCUACAAUGGCUAAGACAAAGAGUCGCGAAUUCGCGAGAAUCAGCUAAUCUCAUAAACUUAGUCUAAGUUCAGAUUGUAGGCUGCAACUCGCCUGCAUGAA